Molecule: small nucleolar RNA, 133 nt
Filed under: Castor canadensis (American beaver)
Lineage: Eukaryota; Metazoa; Chordata; Mammalia; Rodentia; Castoridae
Description: Small nucleolar RNA SNORA67 (ENSCCNG00000002920.1)
Rfam family: Small nucleolar RNA SNORA67
About the family: U67 belongs to the H/ACA class of snoRNAs which are thought to guide the sites of modification of uridines to pseudouridines.
Source: Rfam by way of RNAcentral
AUCCAAGGUGAUUGAUUCCCUCUCCAAGGGACCAACUAAUGCCUUCAGGAAAGUAGCAACUUUGAAGAAAAUCUGGCAUGCCUAAGGUUUUCGGGGGACAGGGGAUACCCAUUUCCUUUGGCUGCCUGCAUGU